CAGAGGUGGCAAGCGUUGUUCGGAAUUACUGGGCGUAAAGGGCGCGUAGGCGGCCUUCUAAGUCGGACGUGAAAGCCCCAGGCUUAACCUGGGAACUGCGUCUGAUACUGGGAGGCUUGGAUUCGGGAGAGGGAUGUGGAAUUCCAGGUGUAGCGGUGAAAUGCGUAGAUAUCUGGAGGAACACCGGUGGCGAAGGCGGCAUCCUGGACCGAGAUCGACGCUGAGGCGCGAAAAGCUAGGGGAGCAAACGGGAUU
RNAcentral lists this ribosomal RNA (255 nucleotides) under uncultured bacterium. Its description in RNAcentral is "partial 16S ribosomal RNA". It matches the Rfam family "Bacterial small subunit ribosomal RNA", at positions 526 to 779 of the family's 1533-position model. The record is from RNAcentral.